This is a long non-coding RNA of Mus musculus (house mouse), 912 nucleotides long. RefSeq annotates it as predicted gene, 52865. The transcript is spliced from 3 exons. The record is from RefSeq and is a predicted model, not a curated record. NCBI's taxonomy places the organism in Eukaryota, Metazoa, Chordata, Mammalia, Rodentia, Muridae.
AUAUAGAGACAUUCCAUAAGUUCUGGGACUCUAGAGAACCCUGACUAAUACAUUGUCCUUAACAAUCUGACCACAUAAGCUUCACUGUCAACUAUGAUAUAUCCCUUUCAAAAUAAAAGGCUGACUGCCAAGUUCACUUCUGUAACAUCUUGGUUGCUUAUUCACCUAGUUAGUGGUUUUAGAGUAUAAAAUGAAAAUACAAGCUGGAUCUGGGACAGAGGCCUUUUAGGAGUUACCCUGGCUUUCUUUGGACCACUGAUGAAUCUGUUCUUCCACUCUCAUUGGUAUUGGAGUGGUUGUUCCAAAAACACUGAGAAAACCAGCAACUCAGAAAUGGACCAAUCAUUGGCUAUGCCAUUUCCAGGAAGAAGUUCCUGCAAUCAGCAGAGCAAGGGCAGCUUGGGUAAGCCCAGAGAAGUCACCCAAACUCACGGCAAGGUCUUCACCAUGAUGCAGACAGAGCACUGGGGUUCACAGUAAAACACAUCAGAUGCAGACCACAUUGGUGUCUGAGAGACCAUGCUGUGACACAUGAUGAUGCUGGAGGCCAUGUUAUUGACAGAAACCACGUGGAAGUCCUUGAUCUGUGCUCCCACUGACUGUAAAGGGCAAGGAAGCUACUUUUGCUGUUGUAUCGAUGACUGUAGACUCACAGUUGAGAAUAAAGGACAUAGAAAGCUUCUGUGACAAUCUCUACCCUGACCCUGCCCCCUAAAAAGUAACAGCCAAGACAGGAAACCAUCAAAGAGAUUUCUUAAAAAUUGUGAUAAAGAUGCUGAAGUGUAACUCUGCACAAUUGAUGAAUUGAUGGCUUCUGGUGGGGCGUGUGGGUGAGGAAGGACUCAGUUUUAAGGGGCUGGCCACUGGGAGUGUGACCAUGGCCUUUAACUUAUGUUUUGGUUGUUGGUGGGG